CUCUUAUCCAGAGUGGUCGAGGGACUGGCCCGAUGACGCCCGGCAACCGGCUUUUAUAAGCAGUGGUGCUAAUUCCAGCAGGAGAAAUCCUGGAAGAUGAGAG
This 103-nucleotide non-coding RNA is filed under the name Thermosinus carboxydivorans. RNAcentral describes it as "SAM-I sequence". It matches the Rfam family "SAM riboswitch aptamer (S box leader)". Rfam says of the family: The SAM riboswitch is found upstream of a number of genes which code for proteins involved in methionine or cysteine biosynthesis in Gram-positive bacteria. The SAM riboswitch acts at the level of transcription termination control. The record is from RNAcentral. Lineage: Bacteria; Bacillati; Bacillota; Negativicutes; Selenomonadales; Sporomusaceae. RNAcentral also lists the same sequence under 1 other name.